Molecule: long non-coding RNA, 1092 nt
Organism: Empidonax traillii (willow flycatcher)
Lineage: Eukaryota; Metazoa; Chordata; Aves; Passeriformes; Tyrannidae
Exons: 3
Source: RefSeq, a predicted model, not a curated record
CCGGCAUCCCCCGGCAUUCACCGGCAUUCCUGGCACCCGCCCCCCUGCCGCCAAAUGGGAAUUCAUUCCAUAGGAACUGCCGAUUACUGCCUUCGCUCAGCCCCCCAUCCUGUAUUCAAGAGAGGAUUUGGAUACCUUAUGAGAGUUAGAUGCCUUGUGAGGUAAACAGAUCUUGCUGCUGACAGCUGUUUUGUAAAGAUAUGAAUAUCUUGAUGCUCUGCAUUAGCUGGAUAGAAAGGAUGUACCCAGAGCUGACUACGCUAGUCUAUGCUUGAAGAACAAAGGCAAUAAUUCUUCUUCAGCACUGCAUUGCCAGUCCUGGUUGUCAGUGAUGCCACUUCUCCUUCACCCAUGGGAAGAAGAGACAGGGAGAAGGACCAAAGUUUUGCAAAACUACCAGGAUUCACUACUUUGUCCAGUGGGGCUGGUGGUAUGCAAGGUUGGCUUGCCUAGAAUCCAUUUCCGUAGCUGCAGCACCACAAGGAGCGUGGGAAGAGAAAAACUGGCCCUAAAAACCAGUCAAAAAACCCCACAAAGAAGCAUAUCUGUAGGAGACACAUAAUGUCUGCUAAGGAGCGAAAGCAAACCUCAGCAGGCUUGUUGUGCCUGGGAGUCAUCCUUGAGGAAAAAAAUGUAUUCACACAUCAUAUUGGACAUUUUCAAGCUGGAUUUGUCAUGGCCCCCAUCAAGUGGCUUUACUUGUCAAAUAGGUCCCUCCCCUUCCCCACCCGUAUGAAAUACAACGGAUAAGCAAUCAAAACUCGUGUGGCAUACAGAAAAAUGCAUUAGUUAAGUUGUGCUUUCUGAAGGAAUCAAGUGAUCAUGUGGUUACAUCAUGAGGGUGUAAUCAAAGGGGUAAAGUGGUGGUACUAGUGGCACAGUCAUCUUCAAAGAGAGCUUUUUUGGCUGGGAUUUCAACCUCAGUCUCAACUUAUUUCUUCCUAAAAGGGAUGACAGCUCUGCAGAAUGCUGAGUGACUCCCGUGACCAUUAAAUGACAUUAUUUUUCCAGACAGUUAUCGUAAAUAACAUUUUCUGUUAAAACACAUGACAAAAACUCUAUUACAUUUUCUGCUGUGUUUUGAAAGAUAUG